AGGGCACCACCAGGAGUGGAGCCUGCGGCUUAAUUUGACUCAACACGGGGAAACUCACCCGGCCCGGACACUGGAAGGAUUGACUGAUUGAUAGCUCUUUCUUGAUUCGGUGGGUGGGGGUGCAUGGCCGUUCUUAGUUGGUGGAGUGAUUUGUCUGGUUAAUUCCGAUAACGAACGAGACUCUAGCCUACUAAAUAGACCUCGGCAUUCUUUGUACUGUCGAGGCGCUUCUUAGAGGGACAGGUGGCGUUUCAGCCGCAUGAGAAAGAGCAAUAGCAGGUCUGUGAUGCCCUUAGAUGUCCGGGGCCGCACGCGCGCUACACUGAAGAGAUCAGUGUGCAUGUGCCUCCUACUCCGUAAGGAGCGGGAAACCGAGUGAACCUUUUUCGUGCUUGGGAUUGGGAAUUGCAAUUAUUUCCCUUGAACGAGGAAUUCCCAGUAAGCGCGAGUCAUAAGCUUGCGUUGAUUACGUCCCUGCCCUUUGUACCCAUCGCCCGUCGCUACUACCGAUUGAAUGAU
This 519-nucleotide ribosomal RNA is filed under the name uncultured eukaryote. Its description in RNAcentral is "SSU rRNA". It matches the Rfam family "Eukaryotic small subunit ribosomal RNA", at positions 1161 to 1697 of the family's 1831-position model. The record is from RNAcentral.